CAUGCUGUGAGCUCGAUGAGUAGGGCGGGACACGUGGUAUCCUGUCUGAAUAUGGGGGGACCAUCCUCCAAGGCUAAAUACUCCUGACUGACCGAUAGUGAACCAGUACCGUGAGGGAAAGGCGAAAAGAACCCCGGCGAGGGGAGUGAAAAAGAACCUGAAACCGUGUACGUACAAGCAGUGGGAGCACGCUUAGGCGUGUGACUGCGUACCUUUUGUAUAAUGGGUCAGCGACUUAUAUUCUGUAGCAAGGUUAACCGAAUAGGGGAGCCGAAGGGAAACCGAGUCUUAACUGGGCGUUAAGUUGCAGGGUAUAGACCCGAAACCCGGUGAUCUAGCCAUGGGCAGGUUGAAGGUUGGGUAACACUAACUGGAGGACCGAACCGACUAAUGUUGAAAAAUUAGCGGAUGACUUGUGGCUGGGGGUGAAAGGCCAAUCAAACCGGGAGAUAGCUGGUUCUCCCCGAAAGCUAUUUAGGUAGCGCCUCGUGAAUUCAUCUCCGGGGGUAGAGCACUGUUUCGGCAAGGGGGUCAUCCCGACUUACCAACCCGAUGCAAACUGCGAAUACCGGAGAAUGUUAUCACGGGAGACACACGGCGGGUGCUAACGUCCGUCGUGAAGAGGGAAACAACCCAGACCGCCAGCUAAGGUCCCAAAGUCAUGGUUAAGUGGGAAACGAUGUGGGAAGGCCCAGACAGCCAGGAUGUUGGCUUAGAAGCAGCCAUCAUUUAAAGAAAGCGUAAUAGCUCACUGGUCGAGUCGGCCUGCGCGGAAGAUGUAACGGGGCUAAACCAUGCACCGAAGCU
RNAcentral lists this ribosomal RNA (807 nucleotides) under Escherichia coli. Its description in RNAcentral is "partial 23S ribosomal RNA". It matches the Rfam family "Bacterial large subunit ribosomal RNA", at positions 393 to 1201 of the family's 2925-position model. The record is from RNAcentral. Lineage: Bacteria; Pseudomonadati; Pseudomonadota; Gammaproteobacteria; Enterobacterales; Enterobacteriaceae.